AGCGAACGCUGGCGGCAGGCCUAACACAUGCAAGUCGAACGAACCUUUCGGGGUUAGUGGCGGACGGGUGAGUAACACGUGGGAACGUGCCUUUAGGUUCGGAAUAACUCAGGGAAACUUGUGCUAAUACCGAAUGUGCCCUUCGGGGGAAAGAUUUAUCGCCUUUAGAGCGGCCCGCGUCUGAUUAGCUAGUUGGUUGAGGUAAUGGCUCACCAAGGCGACGAUCAGUAGCUGGUCUGAGAGGAUGAUCAGCCACAUUGGGACUGAGACACGGCCCAAACUCCUACGGGAGGCAGCAGUGGGGAAUCUUGCGCAAUGGGCGAAAGCCUGACGCAGCCAUGCCGCGUGAAUGAUGAAGGUCUUAGGAUUGUAAAAUUCUUACACCGGGGACGAUAAUGACGGUACCCGGAGAAGAAGCCCCGGCUAACUUCGUG
This 434-nucleotide ribosomal RNA is filed under the name uncultured bacterium. Its description in RNAcentral is "partial 16S ribosomal RNA". It matches the Rfam family "Bacterial small subunit ribosomal RNA", at positions 29 to 507 of the family's 1533-position model. The record is from RNAcentral.